RNAcentral lists this ribosomal RNA (159 nucleotides) under Ligularia franchetiana. RNAcentral's name for it is "5.8S ribosomal RNA". It matches the Rfam family "5.8S ribosomal RNA". Rfam says of the family: 5.8S ribosomal RNA (5.8S rRNA) is a component of the large subunit of the eukaryotic ribosome. It is transcribed by RNA polymerase I as part of the 45S precursor that also contains 18S and 28S rRNA. The record is from RNAcentral. RNAcentral also lists the same sequence under 2 other names. Lineage: Eukaryota; Viridiplantae; Streptophyta; Magnoliopsida; Asterales; Asteraceae.
GACUCUCGGCAACGGAUAUCUCGGCUCACGCAUCGAUGAAGAACGUAGCAAAAUGCGAUACUUGGUGUGAAUUGCAGAAUCCCGUGAACCAUCGAGUUUUUGAACGCAAGUUGCGCCCGAAGCCUUUUGGUCGAGGGCACGUCUGCCUGGGCGUCACAC